CCAGACAUGAAGUUAGAUCAGCAAACCCGCCGAAUUUAAGCAUAUAAGUAAGCGGAGGAUGAGAAACUAAAUAGGAUUCCCUUAGUAAUGGCGAACGAACAGGGAAGAGCUCAGAUUGUAUAUCGGGGCCUCUGGCUUCGAAUUGUAGUCUCGAAAUGCAACGCCAACGGAGGCGCAGAUUUAAGCCCCUUGAAAGAGAGCGCCGACGAGGGUGAGAGUCCCGUUUGUCAAUCUGCAGCCCUCCGUACACGGCUUGCACUUGCAGAGUCACGUUCCUCGGGAUUGGAGCGCAAAGUGGGUGGUAAAUUUCAUCUAAAGCUAAAUACGUGUUUGAGACCGAUAGCACACRAGUACCAUGAGGGAAAGAUGAAAAGGACUUUGAAAAGAGAGUUAAAAGUGCCUGAAAUUGCUGCAAGGGAAGCGGAUGGAACCAGUCCACACGGUGAGAUUGUUGGGUGGAGGCGAAGGGAGUUGCACUUUCAACGCAAGUGUGAGUGUGAGUUCUGGUCGUCUCUCGCCCGGUGGUUCUUGCCGUGGGGGUCAUUGGUGAUUGGUGGCCGAGGAUACCUGCAAAGGCAUGGUAGCCCGUCUCCGGGUGGGUGAACGCGUUUGUUAGUACUCGGCCGCUGAUCAUGUGAGUGGUGUCCGGUAACCGGCGAACGACUUCGGUGGCCCAGCCGCUUGGGUUGAUCGUGGGUCCUGACACACGUCUACGACCAAAUGGUUCUUUCCGACCCGUCUUGAAACACGGACCAAGGAGUCUAGCAUAUGUGCGAGUGCUUGGGCUGCAAACCCAUGCGCGCAACGAAAGUGACUGCUGAGAUCUUUGCACCAGCAACCGACUGAUCAAUUGCGAGACGUUUGAGUGUGAGCAUAUCUGUUAGGACCCGAAAGAUGGUGAACUAUGCCUGUGAAGGGUGAACCCAGGGGAAACUCUGGUGGAGGCUCGUAGCGAUACUGACGUGCAAAUCGUUCGUCAUACAUGGGUAUAGGGGCGAAAGACUAAUCGAACCAUCUAGUAGCUGGUUCCCUCCGAAGUUUCCCUCAGGAUAGCUGGAGU
This 1060-nucleotide ribosomal RNA is filed under the name Margalefidinium polykrikoides. RNAcentral's name for it is "LSU rRNA". It matches the Rfam family "Eukaryotic large subunit ribosomal RNA", at positions 1 to 988 of the family's 3401-position model. Lineage: Eukaryota; Dinophyceae; Gymnodiniales; Gymnodiniaceae. The record is from RNAcentral.